UGGGUGAGUGAUUUUGUGAGUUUGGGNUUAGAAGUAGUUUNUGACCUAUUGGACCAUUUGGGCAGGUCAAUUAUGACUUGUUGAGAGCCUUAAACNAGCCAAAAACACUUUGCACCUAGUAGAUUUGAUUUUGACCUCUCAAGUAGAGGAAAUUGAGUUAUUAAAUCUAAAUUCUUUGNAUAGUUGCUAAGGAUUCGUGUUAGGAUCAAGGGAAAACAUUCAAACAAGUUAGAUUUGGCCUAUAUUUCGAGUUAGGAGUGUCCAAAGUUCACCAAAAGGCCUAAAACGAAACUUAGGGGGUAGAGUUGCUCAAUUAUGCAGAAAAAUCUNCAUAAUUCACGCCGGGCNCCCAAAAAGGGCGUUGGGCGCCAUUUCGUGCUGUUUUCCANNAGAAAUUCACGUUGGGCGCCCCUAAAUGGCGCUGGGCGCAGGUUUCUGCUGUUGCUUUUGUUUUUGAUAGUUUGGGGGGUUCCGGAUGUCCGUUUUGGACGUUCUUUAGGUCGUUUUGGGGGUUUUAGACCCUUCCGGAGCCGUUGGUGAUGGUUUCGGAACCGUUUGAAUUACUUAAGUAUAGGUAAUUAUAGUUGAUAAAGAAAUUGGUAUUAAUAAAUGAUGUUUCUGUGAAAAUAUGUAAUGUAUGACUUAUUUCUAGCAUUGUAUAAUUCUUUUUAGUAUUGUAUGAGUUAAUUAUGUAGGAUUUGUAUGGAAUUGAAUCAAUCUAACCCCA
RNAcentral lists this long non-coding RNA (727 nucleotides) under Vigna radiata. RNAcentral describes it as "long non-coding RNA (VRAD_LNC018466)". Lineage: Eukaryota; Viridiplantae; Streptophyta; Magnoliopsida; Fabales; Fabaceae. The record is from RNAcentral.